This 459-nucleotide ribosomal RNA is filed under the name uncultured bacterium. Its description in RNAcentral is "partial 16S ribosomal RNA". It matches the Rfam family "Bacterial small subunit ribosomal RNA", at positions 338 to 795 of the family's 1533-position model. The record is from RNAcentral.
CCUACGGGAUGCAGCAGUGAGGAAUAUUGGUCAAUGGCCGCGAGGCUGAACCAGCCAAGUCGCGUGAGGGAAGACGGCCCUACGGGUUGUAAACCUCUUUUGUCGGGGAGCAAAGCGAGUCACGUGUGCCUCAUUGUGAGUACCAGCAGAAAAAGCAUCGGCUAACUCCGUGCCAGCAGCCGCGGUAAUACGGAGGAUGCGAGCGUUAUCCGGAUUUAUUGGGUUUAAAGGGUGCGCGGGGGGAGGUGGAGGUCAGCGGUAAAGUUGCGGGGCUCAACCCCGUACUGCCGUUGAAACUGGAUCCCUUGAGUGCACGAGAGGUAUGCGGAAUGCGUGGUGUAGCGGUGAAAUGCUUAGAUAUCACGAAGAACUCCGAUUGCGAAGGCAGCAUACCGGCGCGCAACUGACGCUCAUGCACGAAAGCGUGGGUAUCGAACAGGAUUAGAUACCCCUGUAGUC